Molecule: long non-coding RNA, 714 nt
Organism: Sphaeramia orbicularis (orbiculate cardinalfish)
Lineage: Eukaryota; Metazoa; Chordata; Actinopteri; Kurtiformes; Apogonidae
Exons: 3
Source: RefSeq, a predicted model, not a curated record
GUUCAAUGUAUAGAUGUGUUUUUCAGCUACAGUUAUAGAGGUCCACUGAAGACAAGUGAAAGGGAAAAGAAAGGAGAAGUGAACCCAACUCCUGAACUGGUCAGGUUUUUUCCUGUGAUUGGAAACCCUGAUGGAGAGCUAGGAAAAAGAAGAACUAGGAUCUGCUGAACUGAACUGAUCUACCAGCAUAGACAAACUGAGGACGCUGACCUCUGUGGUUCAGCCGCUGCCUCGUCUCCAUCCACAUUAGUGGCGGGCUGCCGGGGGCAGAGGUGCAUUGUGGGAGGUUGGUGUUUCCCAGAAGCCCCAGUUUGGGUCAGAGGACGCAGAACCUGGACGUCAGUGGAUAAUUACAGCAGCUCUGAUGCUCAAAACAGACGCAGGAGAAGAAAAAAAAAACAGCUGCAGGGAAACGACCACCGAUGCCCGGGUUUGAUCCGCCCACAGGGGGCGGAGCCUCCACCAGGGAGGGCGGUGAUGUCACGGUGAAGCGGACUGAGGACGACGUCUACGGAAACAGACGAUAGAAUGAAAUGAAACACCAGAGGACAUUUAUGUACAGACGGAAAAGUGGAAACAGAUGAUUGAUGAAAAACCUGAAACAUCCACUGAAUUAAAACGACAAACAUCAGAGAAACCGACGCCGACCACAGCGCGUCAUCUGACCAAUGACGGAGUGAUGUCACAAGGACUGUCAUAGUUUUUUUUUUUUUA